GAUGAACGCUGGCGGCGUGCUUAACACAUGCAAGUCGAACGGGAUCCAAGGGGUGCUUGCACUUUUUGGUGAGAGUGGCGAACGGGUGAGUAACACGUGAGUAACCUGUCCUUUUCUUUGGGAUAAGCAUUCGAAAGGGUGUUUAAUACCUUAUGUUCUGUCUGCCUCGCAUGGGGUGGGUGGGAAAGGCUUUGGCCGGAUUUGGGUGGGCUCGCGGUCUAUCAGCUUGUUGGUGGGGUGAUGGCUUACCAAGGCUUUGACGGGUAGCCGGCCUGAGAGGGUGGUCGGUCACAUUGGGACUGAGAUACGGCCCAGACUCCUGCGGGAGGCAGCAGUGGGGGAUAUGGCACAAUGGGCGAAAGCCUGAUGCAGCGACGCCGCGUGGGGGAUGAAGGCCUUCGGGUUGUAAACUUCUUUUGCUCUGAACAAGGCAUGCCAGUGGGUGUGUUGAGUGUAGGGGUUGAUUAGCGCCGGCUAACUACGUG
This 485-nucleotide ribosomal RNA is filed under the name uncultured bacterium. RNAcentral describes it as "partial 16S ribosomal RNA". It matches the Rfam family "Bacterial small subunit ribosomal RNA", at positions 28 to 507 of the family's 1533-position model. The record is from RNAcentral.